RNAcentral lists this ribosomal RNA (509 nucleotides) under uncultured Glomus. Its description in RNAcentral is "SSU rRNA". It matches the Rfam family "Eukaryotic small subunit ribosomal RNA", at positions 569 to 1081 of the family's 1831-position model. Lineage: Eukaryota; Fungi; Glomeromycota; Glomeromycetes; Glomerales; Glomeraceae. The record is from RNAcentral.
AGCAGCCGCGGUAAUUCCAGCUCCAAUAGCGUAUAUUAAAGUUGUUGCAGUUAAAAAGCUCGUAGUUGAAUUUCGGGAUCAAUAUAUUGGUCAUGCUUAGGUAUGUACUGGUAUUAUUGAUUUCUCCCUUUUGAAGAACCAUGAUGUCAUUAAUUUGAUGUCGUGGGGAAUCAGGACUGUUACUUUGAAAAAAUUAGAGUGUUUAAAGCAGGCUUUCGCUUGAAUACAUUAGCAUGGAAUAAUGAAAUAGGACGUUUGAUUCUAUUUUGUUGGUUUCUAGGAUCGACGUAAUGAUUAAUAGGGAUAGUUGGGGGCAUUAGUAUUCAAUUGUCAGAGGUGAAAUUCUUGGAUUUAUUGAAGACUAACUACUGCGAAAGCAUUUGCCAAGGAUGUUUUCAUUAAUCAAGAACGAAAGUUAGGGGAUCGAAGACGAUCAGAUACCGUCGUAGUCUUAACCAUAAACUAUGCCGACUAGGGAUCGGAUGAUGUUAAUUUUUAAUGACUCAUUC